UACUACCGCGUGAGGGAUAGCAGUGGAAAUCAUCCCGAUUUUUAUCGGGAGAUUGCAGCGAAUAGCCCGACCCGCA
RNAcentral lists this small RNA (76 nucleotides) under Flavobacterium fluvii. Its description in RNAcentral is "Flavo-1 RNA". It matches the Rfam family "Flavo-1 RNA". Lineage: Bacteria; Pseudomonadati; Bacteroidota; Flavobacteriia; Flavobacteriales; Flavobacteriaceae. The record is from RNAcentral.